GCAGCUAUUCUUUGAUCAUGAUGUCAUCAUUUUCCCAUUGCUAUGUCGUAUUAUCUAGAAUUCAGAUAGGCUUUCUUUUACAUCAAGAAAGACUCUGUGAUCUUUAAGAUUAAAUAGAGUAAAUAGAGUAUCCUUCUAGGAUGGAUAUCAUGUUAUCCAAUAUCCAGGAUCUGAAUACAAAAGAUCACUUUCUUGGCCCAGGAAUGUUAGGAACAUAGUCCCUUGAAACCCUUACUGUCAGCUCUUGCCUUGGAGUUUAAACCUGCAGCUAGGACCAUUCUUAAACUCCUCUCAUAAUAUCCUCUGAAUUCAGGGGCUAUUUCUGAGUGUGUUUUCUUCACAUUGUUCCAGUGGAACCUGGCUAUUCCCUAGGGCAAUGCUUCCUCUGAAGUCCCUCAAUUACUAGUUUUUGUCUCCCUCAAGCCGUGUACCUCUCUGUACUGCCAUUUCUUUCCUAUUCUCCAUCAGAAACACUGCCCUCUUGAAAUGUACAUCAUGACAGUACUGUGUAUUAUCGGUCCUUGUUUUUGUCAUCUGCUGGCUUCCUGUGUUGUCACCUUAUCUCAUGGUUUUAGUUCCCCGAAUUUUCCUGAGGCAUAUGAAGAGGUACUAUUUUUAGCCACUAUAUCCUGAUUAUGUAGAACUGCUCUCUGUGGAAUAAAAAUGUGUGCUUUCUUAGAUGAGAGGAAGAUGUGAAAUCUCAUUUAAUACAAUUAUAGGGAAACACAUAAAGAAACCUGCUUAGAAAAAUGUUAUUUCCCUGGAUUUAGAGGUUUCUUUCAUAGAUGGUGUAUACUAUGUUAUGUCUUACUUGGUAGAAAAUUGAAACCAAAACUUGAUUUAGUUGAGUAAUUGUAUUGUAUGUAAAUUCCGUAAGACUGAAUUUUAUUGCAGGUCUAUAGCUUCAGUGACAGACUUCCUUUUUUAAUUUUUCCAUCCAGUGUAAAUAAAAGGAUGCUCAUAUUAUUAAAUGGUUUUUAGUUACCAGACUGGUUUUAGUCACUUCUAAUAUCAUUAAACUGGAGUCAUAAAACUGUUUUUGCA
This 1044-nucleotide long non-coding RNA is filed under the name Marmota monax (woodchuck). The record is from RNAcentral. Lineage: Eukaryota; Metazoa; Chordata; Mammalia; Rodentia; Sciuridae.